GUAGGUGAACCUGCGGAAGGAUCAUUAACAUUGUUUCUCUUUUAAUCCUCGAAUUGCACACUUGAGAUGAAGACGGUUCUUUUUUACUGUUUUUGUCUUAUUUGUGGUCUCGGGAAGGGAAAGUGCAUUUUGGACGCUUGGUGCUUCUGUCAUGGAAGUGCUGAGUGGACGGGGUGUAUCUUUCCACAAACGUGUAACCGCCCUCUUUGCGAGUGCAAUGCCGUUUCAACCUUUUCUUAUUUUAGAAGGG
This 250-nucleotide unclassified non-coding RNA is filed under the name plant metagenome. Its description in RNAcentral is "partial contains small subunit ribosomal RNA, internal transcribed spacer 1, and 5.8S ribosomal RNA". The record is from RNAcentral.